RNAcentral lists this ribosomal RNA (238 nucleotides) under uncultured bacterium. RNAcentral's name for it is "partial 16S ribosomal RNA". It matches the Rfam family "Bacterial small subunit ribosomal RNA", at positions 539 to 776 of the family's 1533-position model. The record is from RNAcentral.
CGUUACUCGGAAUUACUGGGCGUAAAGCGCACGUAGUCGGCUUUGUAAGCCAGAUGUGAAAUCCCCGGGCUUAACCUGGGAAUGGCAUUUGGGACUGCAAGGCUCGAGUGCGGCAGAGGAGACUGGAAUUCCUGGUGUAGCAGUGAAAUGCGUAGAUAUCAGGAGGAACACCGGUGGCGAAGGCGGGUCUCUGGGCCGAUACUGACGCUGAGGAGCGAAAGCGUGGGGAGCGAACAGG